RNAcentral lists this non-coding RNA (28 nucleotides) under Rattus norvegicus (Norway rat). The record is from RNAcentral. Lineage: Eukaryota; Metazoa; Chordata; Mammalia; Rodentia; Muridae.
UGGUUAAUGUGAAUUCAUGGCAAAAUGC